GAUGAACGCUGGCGGCGUGCCUAAUACAUGCAAGUCGAGCGAACAGACGAGGAGCUUGCUCCUCUGACGUGAGCGGCGGACGGGUGAGUAACACGUGGAUAACCUAUCUAUAAGACUGGGAUAACUUCGGGAAACCGGAGCUAAUACCGGAUAAUAUAUUGAACCGCAUGGUUCAAUAGUGAAAGACGGUUUUGCUGUCACUUAUAGAUGGAUCCGCGCCGCAUUAGCCAGUUGGUAAGGUAACGGCUUACCAAGGCAACGAUGCGUAACCGACCUGAGAGGGUGUGCGGCCCCACUGGAACUGAGCCACGGUCCAGACUCCUCCAGGAGGCCGCCGUAGGCAACCUUCCGCAAUGGGCGAAAGCCUGCCGGAGCAACGCCGCGUGAGUGAUGAAGGUCUUCGGAUCGUACAACUCUGUUAUUAGGGACGAACAAAUGUGUAAGUAACUAUGCACGUCUUGACGGUACCUAAUCAGACCGCCACGGCUACCUACGUG
This 497-nucleotide ribosomal RNA is filed under the name uncultured bacterium. Its description in RNAcentral is "partial 16S ribosomal RNA". It matches the Rfam family "Bacterial small subunit ribosomal RNA", at positions 28 to 507 of the family's 1533-position model. The record is from RNAcentral.